CGCUAGCUACAGGCUUAACACAUGCAAGUCGAGGGGCAGCAUUUCAGUUUGCUUGCAAACUGGAGAUGGCGACCGGCGCACGGGUGAGUAACACGUAUCCAACCUGCCGAUAACUCGGGGAUAGCCUUUCGAAAGAAAGAUUAAUACCCGAUAGUAUAAUGAAACCGCAUGGUCUUAUUAUUAAAGAAUUUCGGUUAUCAAUGGGGAUGCGUUCCAUUAGGCAGUUGGUGAGGUAACGGCUCACCAAACCUUCGAUGGGUAGGGGUUCUGAGAGGAAGGUCCCCCACACUGGUACUGAGACACGGACCAGACUCCUACGGGAGGCAGCAGUGAGGAAUAUUGGUCAAUGGUCGAGAGACUGAACCAGCCAAGUCGCGUGAGGGAUGACUGCCCUAUGGGUUGUAAACCUCUUUUCUACUGGGAGAAUAAGCCUUAUGUAUAAGGUGAUGACAGUACAGUAGGAAUAAGCAUCGGCUAACUCCGUGCCAGCAGCCGCGGUAAUACGGAGGAUGCGAGCGUUAUCCGGAUUUAUUGGGUUUAAAGGGUGCGUAGGCGGCUUUAUAAGUUAGUGGUAAAAUUUCGGAGCUUCACUCCGGUCCGCCAUUAAAACUGUAGAGCUAGAGAAUGGACGAGGUAGGCGGAAUAAGUUAAGUAGCGGUGAAAUGCAUAGAUAUAACUUAGAACUCCGAUAGCGAAGGCAGCUUACCAGACCAUAACUGACGCUGAUGCACGAGAGCGUGGGUAGCGAACAGGAUUAGAUACCCUGGUAGUCCACGCCGUAAACGAUGCUCACCGGCCCUUAGCGAUAAGACAGUUAGGGGUUAAUUGAAAGAAUUAAGUGAGCCACCUGGGGAGUACGUCGGCAACGAUGAAACUCAAAGGAAUUGACGGGGGCCCGCACAAGCGGAGGAACAUGUGGUUUAAUUCGAUGAUACGCGAGGAACCUUACCUGGGUUUAAAUGUAUAUUGCAUAAUCUGGAAACAGUUUUUCUCUUCGGAGCUAUAUACAAGGUGCUGCAUGGUUGUCGUCAGCUCGUGCCGUGAGGCGUCGGGUUAAGUCCCAUAACGAGCGCAACCCUUACCGUUAGUUGCUAACAUGUAAUGAUGAGCACUCUAGCGGGACUGCCACCGUAAGGUGAGAGGAAGGGGGGGAUGACGUCAAAUCAGCACGGCCCUUACAUCCAGGGCGACACACGUGUUACAAUGGCCAUAACAGCGGGUAGCUACCGGGUGACCGGAUGCAAAUCUCGAAAAUUGGUCUAAGUUCGGAUUGGAGUCUGCAACCCGACUCCAUGAAGUUGGAUUCGCUAGUAAUCGCGCAUCAGCCAUGGCGCGGUGAAUACGUUCCCGGGCCUUGUACACACCGCCCGUCAAGCCAUGGAAGCUGGGAGUACCUGAAGUCCGUAACCGCGAGGAUCGGCCUAGGGUAAUACCGGUAACU
Molecule: ribosomal RNA, 1441 nt
Filed under: uncultured organism
Description: SSU rRNA
Rfam family: Bacterial small subunit ribosomal RNA
Source: RNAcentral